GCCCUUGCGCUGUCCCUGGCCUGGGCAUGGUGUGUGUGGGGCCGCAGGGUUUGGGUGACGGUGGUCUCGGGGUGCCCAUCUGGCUGUGAUGGCCCUGGCUGGGCUCCUGCAGGAGCGGGGUUCCAAGAGGGGCUUGCUCAGAGCAGCACCGUGCCGUGGGGACGGGGCUCUCCGUGUGUCCCAGCCGCCCCCAAAGCCCUUGCUCGCUUUUAUGACCCCCCCUCGCCACCCACCCCACCUCCCCAGGCUUGCCCUCCCGGCCAGAAGCACUUUAGGAAGGGGGUGAUGUGCUGCCACCUUGGGGGGGCACGGCUCGGCUGGGGACGUGGGGACGUGGGGAGCACAGACACGAGUGUGCCAGGGCCUGGGGGGGGCAUCAAGUCAAGUCACUGUCACUGUUACACGUCGUUCUCAUACGUUAUGCAAAUAUUUGCUGUAAAUUUCCCCCCCCACCCUUUUUUUUUUUUUUUUUUUUUUUUUUUUUUUUUUUCUUUUUUGUCUCUUUUCAGUUUAAAUCAGAAUCAAGCAGAUUUUUUUUUGUUUUCGUUCUCUUGCUUCAGCUAAAGCACCGGGCUCGGUGCUCACACACAGUUUGCAUGAUGCCAUGAAAUGACGGACGCACACGCACGCACACACGCAGAGACACGCUCACAUAGAAAACCAGCCUGGUGGGCAGCCAGGAGGGGUGGGGAGGGAUAAGAGAAGGGGGUGGCCCGGAGCUCCACGUGCCCCCGCUGCAGGCUGCUCUGGGGCCGGGGUCCCACUGCACCCCUUGGCAAUGCUCGGGUGGGCAGCAGCCAGCACCCACGGCAAGGCUGGGGCGCAGUGAGGGGCUGUGGACCCCCCCCCCCCCAUAGGCAUGAGCUCGCUCACAGCUGCAGAGUGCCCCCCGUUCCCCCCCCCAAUUCACUCUGUGCAGGCAGGGGACCCCCAUGCACUGCCCUGGGCACCCUGGCACCACCCGGUGCAGGGCACACGCCAGGGCAGGAGGAUGCCGUGGCACUGCCGGCAGCUCCGGCCCCUCUGCGCAUGCAUGGCCAC
This 1041-nucleotide long non-coding RNA is filed under the name Anas platyrhynchos platyrhynchos (common mallard). RNAcentral describes it as "lncRNA (ENSAPLG00000023339.1)". The record is from RNAcentral. Lineage: Eukaryota; Metazoa; Chordata; Aves; Anseriformes; Anatidae.